Molecule: long non-coding RNA, 827 nt
Filed under: Salmo salar (Atlantic salmon)
Lineage: Eukaryota; Metazoa; Chordata; Actinopteri; Salmoniformes; Salmonidae
Description: lncRNA (ENSSSAG00000088163.1, ENSSSAG00020084167.1)
Source: RNAcentral
GCGUGCUGGCAGGAUAUGAAAGCAUCUUCGGUUGUGUGUCAAGAAUUCUGCAUACAGUAGCACAUUUGUAUGAAGGUGUGGUUAAUCACAGGAAGUCAGCGCGGACACCUACAAAAAUGGCAUCUCAGGUUAUAUCAGCCUCCCACAUCUGAACUGGCUGACACAGAGGGCACAGCAUGAUCAUAGGUGAGAUGUCACUUGGUGGGGUCGACAGAGAUGUAGUAGUCCCAGUUAAUGAUCCAAGGUAUGUUUUGAUGUGAGAGAGGAAGCCAGUCCCGUCAUCGCCACCUCACCCGCUCUUAAGAUAACCUUCGGGCCAACUGAGGGCCCAAGGCUGGUUAGGAGACACCGUAAUUGUGAUGAACUGAGAGAAUAUUAGGGUAGCACUGUAAUUCAUGAAUCAUAUGCUGUCUGACGCUGUUCUUACCUCUUUACCUUUCUGUCUUCUACACCUCUCUCCACACCUCGUCUUUCUUCCUCAUUUUACAAUGCACACCAUAUGUGCAUUGAAGUACAGAUUGAACUUAUAUUUAUAAUAUAACAUUACAAUUAUAUAUUUACUUGCUUAUUGUGUAGUGGAGGAUAAAAAUAACUGUAUGCCUAUGAAUGUGUAGCUAGCUACAGUAUGUAGCCGAUCUGUGUAUGGACCCUAAAACAUUAGGUUCUGAACUAAUAUUCAUACCAAUCUAUUAACCUCAGCUAUCAUAGUUGUUGUAUCAACUUACAUUUAACAUUUUAGUCAUUUAGCAGACGCUCUUAUCCAGAGCGACUUACAGUAGUGAAUGCAUACAUGUGAAAUGCUGUAUUGAAAGAAGUUCAUUAUCCAG